Molecule: ribosomal RNA, 274 nt
Filed under: uncultured bacterium
Lineage: Bacteria
Description: partial 16S ribosomal RNA
Rfam family: Bacterial small subunit ribosomal RNA
Source: RNAcentral
AUACGGAGGCUGCAAGCGUUACUCGGAAUCACUGGGCGUAAAGCGCGCGCAGGCGGUCUUUUAAGUUGGAUGUGAAAGCCUACGGCUCAACCGUAGAACUGCAUCCAAAACUAUUUAGCUAGAGUGUGGGAGAGGAAGAUGGAAUUAGUUGUGUAGGGGUAAAAUCCGUAGAGAUAACUAGGAAUACCAAAAGCGAAGGCAAUCUUCUGGAACACUACUGACGCUGAGGCGCGAAAGCGUGGGGAGCAAACAGGAUUAGAAACCCUAGUAGUCC